UACGAAGGGGGCUAGCGUUGUUCGGAAUUACUGGGCGUAAAGCGUGCGCAGGCGGCUGCUCAAGUCAGGGGUGAAAGCCCAGAGCUCAACUCUGGAAUUGCCUUUGAGACUGAGUGGCUUGAGUACGGGAGAGGUGAGUGGAAUUCCCAGUGUAGAGGUGAAAUUCGUAGAUAGUUGGGAAGAACACCGGUGGCGAAGGCGGCUCACUGGCCCGUAACUGACGCUCAUGCACGACAGCGUGGGGGAUCAAACAGG
Molecule: ribosomal RNA, 255 nt
Filed under: uncultured bacterium
Lineage: Bacteria
Description: partial 16S ribosomal RNA
Rfam family: Bacterial small subunit ribosomal RNA
Source: RNAcentral